AGGUAGCUUGCUACCAGGCGUCGAGCGGCGGACGGGUGAGUAAUGCUUAGGAAUCUACCGAGUAGUGGGGGAUAGCCAUUGGAAACGAUGAUUAAUACCGCAUAUAUCCUACGGGGGAAAGCAGGGGACCUUCGGGCCUUGCGCUAUUCGAUGAGCCUGAGUGAGAUUAGCUAGUUGGUGGGGUAAAGGCCUACCAAGGCGACGAUCUCUAGCUGGUCUGAGAGGAUGAUCAGCCACACUGGGACUGAGACACGGCCCAGACUCCUACGGGAGGCAGCAGUGGGGAAUAUUGCACAAUGGACGAAAGUCUGAUGCAGCCAUGCCGCGUGUGUGAAGAAGGCCUUCGGGUUGUAAAGCACUUUCAGCGAGGAGGAAAGGUCAGUAAGUAAUAUUUGCUGGCUGUGACGUUACUCGCAGAAGAAGCACCGGCUAAUUUAGUGCCAGCAGCCGCGGUAAUACUAAAGGUGCAAGCGUUAAUCGGAAUUACUGGGCGUAAAGCGCGCGUAGGUGGUUUGUUAAGUUGGAUGUGAAAGCCCAGGGCUCAACCUUGGAACUGCAUUCAAAACUGACUCACUAGAGUACGAGAGAGGUUAGUGGAAUUUCCUGUGUAGCGGUGAAAUGCGUAGAGAUGGGAAGGAACACCAGUGGCGAAGGCGACUGACUGGCUCGAUACUGACACUGAGGUGCGAAAGCGUGGGGAGCAAACGGGAUUAGAUACCCCGGUAGUCCACGCCGUANACGAUGUCUACUAGCCGUUGGAGGACUUGAUCCUUUAGUGGNNNAGCUAACGCGAUAAGUAGACCGCCUGGGGAGUACGGUCGCAAGAUUAAAGCUCANAUGAAUUGACGGGGGCCCGCACAAGCGGUGGAGCAUGUGGUNNNAUUCGAAGCAACGCGAAGAACCUUACCUACUCUUGACAUCCAGUGAACUUUUGAGAGAUCAAUUGGUGCCUUCGGGAACACUGAGACAGGUGCUGCAUGGCUGUCGUC
RNAcentral lists this ribosomal RNA (989 nucleotides) under uncultured bacterium. Its description in RNAcentral is "bacterial SSU rRNA". It matches the Rfam family "Bacterial small subunit ribosomal RNA", at positions 73 to 1056 of the family's 1533-position model. The record is from RNAcentral.